This 424-nucleotide ribosomal RNA is filed under the name uncultured bacterium. RNAcentral's name for it is "bacterial SSU rRNA". It matches the Rfam family "Bacterial small subunit ribosomal RNA", at positions 359 to 776 of the family's 1533-position model. The record is from RNAcentral.
GAAUUUUGGGCAAUGGGCGAAAGCCUGACCCAGCAACGCCGCGUGAAGGACGAAAUCCCUCCGGGAUGUAAACUUCGAAAGUCAGGAAAGAAAUCCCGCGAGAUAAUACCUCGUGGGGAUGACGGUACCUGACGUAAGCACCGGCUACCUACGUGCCAGCAGCCGCGGUAAUACGUAGGGGGCAAGCGUUGUUCGGAAUUACUGGGCGUAAAGGGCGCGUAGGCGGCACAGCAAGUCGGGAGUGAAAGCCCGGGGCUCAACCCCGGAACGGCUUUCGAAACUGCUGAGCUAGAGUGCGGAAGGGGCAACCGGAAUUCCCAGUGUAGCGGUGAAAUGCGUAGAUAUUGGGAAGAACACCUGAGGCGAAGGCGGGUUGCUGGGCCGACACUGACGCUGAGGCGCGAAAGCCAGGGGAGCAAACGGG